This 253-nucleotide ribosomal RNA is filed under the name uncultured bacterium. RNAcentral's name for it is "partial 16S ribosomal RNA". It matches the Rfam family "Bacterial small subunit ribosomal RNA", at positions 524 to 776 of the family's 1533-position model. The record is from RNAcentral.
UACGGGGGGGGCAAGCGUUGUUCGGAAUUACUGGGCGUAAAGGGUUCGUAGGUGGCCAACUAAGUCAGACGUGAAAUCCCUCAGCUUAACUGGGGAACUGCGUCUGAGACUGGAUGGCUUGAGUGCAGGAGAGGAACGCGGAAUUCCAGGUGUAGCGGUGAAAUGCGUAGAUAUCUGGAGGAACACCGGUGGCGAAGGCGGCGUUCUGGACUGCUACUGACGCUGAGGAACGAAAGCUAGGGGAGCAAACAGG